ACAANGGAGAUUAGUCUGGAGCCGCGGGCGUGCUGGUCGGAAAACCGGUAGGGCUUCCCCGAACGGGGGCCGUCCGGCCGCACGGAACCCGUGGCACCCGACGCAUUUGUCUCCCGCCCGAAGGACGCCGCAGCCGGUUGGGUAGUGCAAGCGCGACGGCCAGAGAGGCGGACGAUGGCAGGUGGCCGGUGGGGGGUCUCGUACCCUCCGCCGGUUGUUAGCCGGUCCGUCUGUGGCUCGUCACCCGACCGAGGUGUCACUAGGCCCUUCGGGGCCUCUGCGUUUCCUCCUGNAAUU
This 297-nucleotide ribosomal RNA is filed under the name Isopedella leai. RNAcentral describes it as "partial 28S ribosomal RNA". Lineage: Eukaryota; Metazoa; Arthropoda; Arachnida; Araneae; Sparassidae. The record is from RNAcentral.